CAUCUGUUGGUCAGAAAGUGACAUUGCAGGUAACGGUCAAUAUACGGGGCAUUUAAGGUCGAGUAAGGGACAAACCAAUGACAGUAUAGAAAUCAGUUUUGCGCAUUAUACUGUGGUAUCCCUUAGUUGCCACUUGCCUAAAUUAGGAUUAUCUUCCAGUGACAAUUCCCAAAUAUAACGGUGUAAGAGAAGCUGCAAAGAUCACUGACAUGACAUGUGAAGAGAAAUCUGAGAUCUCCAUGGCAAAGACACGUCAGCUGUUGUCAGAAGCUCAGUUACUUAUGAGAGACAUUGAAGAGAUGAUGAAUUGGUGUGCCUCGUUAGAUCUCUCCAACCAGAGACAUCAAAGAAUGAAUCAGCAGGAGUGUCGGGCCAGCAUAGAGGAGGACGGAGAGACCUUGGUCAUAGAGGGCUUCAGGUUUGAGAGUGCAGCAAGCAGGCAGGAGCUGAAGAGGCUGAGUUCACAGGCUGCUGCAGGAGGAUGCCAGGGUGACACGUGACUGACUUCCAACUUUGUGAGUCCAUUAUGCAGGCUGAUCAAGGUCGCAUGACUGACAGCAGUAGAGGAAAAAAAACAGAAUAACACAUGUUUACUCUUAUAUAUAUCUCUGAAGCCAUAUAUAUAUGAUCUGGUAUAAAGAAUACUUACUAUUUUAAGGAAAAGUGUUUAUAAAUAUUUUCUGUAAGACUAAAAAUUUCCAUUUCUUGUUGGUUUUUAAAAAAUAUCUUUUAUUAGUAGUUCGUCUGCUUGUUGUAUUCAACUGUGGUGCAUUUAAUUAUAGUGCUGGACAUAUUCCCCGGUAUGCAACAACACGCUGUGAAUGAGAGCUGAGGGGAGGACAUGGUCUGCUCUCUGAUUACACGGAGCUUUUAGGCUGUUCAGUGUCUUUCCUGUUUAUACUGUAGUGUAGCUCGUGAGUGCUUUUAUUAUAGUGAAGUUUCAUAGCUCACUGUACUUACUAGUACAGCUGGCUUAACAAAGUACUGUAUUAUAAAUAAAAUAUUACAUUGCCUUUCUUGGA
Molecule: non-coding RNA, 1022 nt
Organism: Neolamprologus brichardi
Lineage: Eukaryota; Metazoa; Chordata; Actinopteri; Cichliformes; Cichlidae
Source: RefSeq, a predicted model, not a curated record